CCUACGGGUGGCAGCAGUGAGGAAUAUUGGUCAAUGGCCGCAGGGCUGAACCAGCCAAGUCGCGUGAGGGAUGACGGUCCUAUGGAUUGUAAACCUCUUUUGUCAGGGAGCAAAGGGCGCCACGUGUGGCGUUUUGCGAGUACCUGAAGAAAAAGCAUCGGCUAACUCCGUGCCAGCAGCCGCGGUAAUACGGAGGAUGCGAGCGUUAUCCGGAUUUAUUGGGUUUAAAGGGAGCGCAGGCGGAUUGUCAAGUCAGCGGUAAAAUUGCGGGGCUCAACCCGAACGUGCCGUUGAAACUGGCAGUCUUGAGUAAGCGAGAGGUAUGCGGAAUGCGUGGUGUAGCGGUGAAAUGCGUAGAUAUCACGCAGAACUCCGAUUGCGAAGGCAGCAUACCGGCGCUCAACUGACGCUCAGGCACGAAAGCGUGGGUAUCAAACAGGAUUAGAUACCCCUGUAGUC
This 459-nucleotide ribosomal RNA is filed under the name uncultured bacterium. RNAcentral describes it as "partial 16S ribosomal RNA". It matches the Rfam family "Bacterial small subunit ribosomal RNA", at positions 338 to 795 of the family's 1533-position model. The record is from RNAcentral.